CAUUGAUUCAGAGAGGGUGAAUAGACAGUGCUUCCCAUAGCACCUUCUUCAGAAGGUGAUGGAACUGUGUAGGUUCAGAGCUGUUGGGUUAAACAAAGUUAACUACUUCCUAGGCUUUUGAAAAUAGCUCAUGUGCAUAAUGAACAUACACAAAUAGUGAAAGUUCAAGAAGUAAAGAGAAGCAUGAAAUGAAAAGACUUUUCCCCUAUCUUUGGUUUAUUACCACCACCACCACCCAGCCCCAUUCUUUAGCGGUUUGGGAACUGGUUUCUCACACUUUGGUCCCCAGCUGUUGCACACAUCUAAGUAUUUUGGCUCAUCACGAUAGAGCAGCCACAGGCAAGUGCCCGACAUGAGCGGCAGCGUGCUUCACACAUGCCUGCACCUUGCUCCAUGCAGAUCUUGGGAAAAUACCAGUUAUUUAGGUUAGUGGUUCUCAGCUGGGGGUGAGUAGAGACAUUUUUGGUUGUUUUAAUGGAGCGUGGUAGUGAGGGUGUUACUGGCAGAUGGUGCCUAGGAUUCAGAGAUGCUGCUGAAAUCCUAUGUCGUGCAGGCAGCUUCCAAAAGGAGUGUCUAACCUGACUUGUCAGAUAUUUAGCAGCCUUUAAACAGAUAGGGAGACCCUUACCUUGGUCAGCAGUAACAUUGAUGGAACUUACAUUUGCUGGCCACUAUCAUCACCAAAUGUGUUCGUCGGGAUUCCUUUCCUUCUACGUGAAUGAAACCAGAGCAGCUCAAACCAUGGCUGAAAAUGAACAAAAACCGUAUUAAAUCUGGGAACGUCUUUGGUCUGAGCCACUUGCCAUAGUCCCGGGCUCAGAAGUGCUAGAGAAGAGCUGUCUCAUCACCUACUCCUGAGUCACAGUGAUGCUAUGACCUGUAACCAUGAGGGAUGCCAGAGACUCCUCACUGCUUCCAGACUUGUGACUAGAUCUAUGUAAGGAGGCAUCGGGCACAGUUGCUGGACUCCCGGUGAAAGGGACCCUUCCUGGUGCUGCCUAACCUCUCCCACAGCCCUCAAGGUGGACUGUAUUGUGGCCUGGGUUCACACUUCCCAUGUGAAACCUGCAGAUGCCCCACUCCCCAGACACCCCUGCUGGACAGUACAGAAGAUGGACAAUCUGCUCAAGCUCAAGAUCACUCGACCUUGAUCAUGACCGCCUGGUGGGUAUCAUUCUUCAGUGAAUAUGGACCCUUAAAAAGGUUUCAUAUCCUCAUCUUUGAGAUGGAAAUUCUGGAACCCACUUUUGGAAAUUUCUUGUGAGGCAAAAUAAGAGACUGACU
Long non-coding RNA from Mus musculus (house mouse), 1284 nucleotides. RefSeq annotates it as predicted gene, 33826. The transcript is spliced from 3 exons. Lineage: Eukaryota; Metazoa; Chordata; Mammalia; Rodentia; Muridae. The record is from RefSeq and is a predicted model, not a curated record.